This 603-nucleotide ribosomal RNA is filed under the name uncultured bacterium. RNAcentral's name for it is "bacterial SSU rRNA". The stretch from base 1 to 521 matches the Rfam family "Bacterial small subunit ribosomal RNA", at positions 338 to 873 of the family's 1533-position model. The record is from RNAcentral.
CCUACGGGAGGCAGCAGUGGGGAAUCUUGCGCAAUGGGCGAAAGCCUGACGCAGCCAUGCCGCGUGAAUGAUGAAGGUCUUAGGAUUGUAAAAUUCUUUCACCGGGGACGAUAAUGACGGUACCCGGAGAAGAAGCCCCGGCUAACUUCGUGCCAGCAGCCGCGGUAAUACGAAGGGGGCUAGCGUUGCUCGGAAUUACUGGGCGUAAAGGGAGCGUAGGCGGAUAGUUUAGUCAGAGGUGAAAGCCCAGGGCUCAACCUUGGAAUUGCCUUUGAUACUGGCUAUCUUGAGUACGGAAGAGGUAUGUGGAACUCCGAGUGUAGAGGUGAAAUUCGUAGAUAUUCGGAAGAACACCAGUGGCGAAGGCGACAUACUGGUCCGUUAACUGACGCUGAGGCUCGAAAGCGUGGGGAGCAAACAGGAUUAGAUACCCUGGUAGUCCACGCUGUAAACGAUGAGUGCUAGUUGUCGGCAGGCAUGCCUGUCGGUAGACGGCAGCUACGACAUAAGUACACUCCGCCGUCGGGAGGUACGGUCGCGAGAAGUUAAACUAACAAGAAGUAGUAGACGCGAGAGAGCGACGACGACGACGACGGAGGAGAG